GCGGGGCCGGUGUGCCCGCAGCUUCCCAAGCUGAGAGCGCGAGUUCGAUUCUCGUCACCCGCUCCA
This 66-nucleotide transfer RNA is filed under the name Streptomyces sp. Root264. Its description in RNAcentral is "tRNA-Gly". Lineage: Bacteria; Bacillati; Actinomycetota; Actinomycetes; Kitasatosporales; Streptomycetaceae. The record is from RNAcentral.